AGUGUAUGAUGAUUUCCACUUCUGGUCCGUGUUUCUGAAACACCAUGAUUACUGUGGAAGUUCUGAUCUA
Spea bombifrons (plains spadefoot toad) is the source of this 70-nucleotide small nucleolar RNA. RefSeq annotates it as small nucleolar RNA SNORD18. NCBI's taxonomy places the organism in Eukaryota, Metazoa, Chordata, Amphibia, Anura, Pelobatidae. The record is from RefSeq and is a predicted model, not a curated record. The transcript has a single exon.